UUUGUUAUCAAUUUAAAGUUAAAAGUUUAAUCUUUAAAAUGGUGCUACUUUUUUUGUUACUAACAAAUUGGUUAGUACACAAGAUCGCGUGGAAACAACUUCAUGUAAGUGAUUCCAUACUUUUGCUCGCAAGUGUACAUUUACUAGACAAGUUAAUUUUGAGUUUUGUCCUGCUUCUAGGUAUUCUAUUGAAAAUAAGGAGAAUUCUGUGUCUGAAAUAUAAUCAGACCAGUAAUCUUGCACAUACUCCGGAGAGUAAUCCAUGAUUGCUGCCAACAUGAAACGUUUAAACUAAACAAUAAAGCCAACCUUAAGAAACUAAUCGAUUGCGUUCUCAUUUACCAACACUCCCUCUAGAACGCAAACCCAUUUCAUUAAUACAAUACAAAUGCUUAGCAAGCGUUACACCCUUGGUUAAAUUGUCAGCUACCAUGUAACUACCAUUAACAAAUAGAAAUUUAACUUUACAAUCAACAACAUUCUCUCUUAGGAAAUGCAACUUUAUAUCUAUGUGUUUAGUUUUAGGUUUAUAACAUUCAUUUGAAGCUAGUCUUAUUGCACUUUGGUUAUCACUAUAGAUUAGUAACGCAGUGUCCACUCCUUGGCCGAGCUCAGCUUGCAAUUGCCGAAGCCACAACGCCUCCUGGGUCGCCGAAGCCAUCGCCAUAUAUUCAGCCUCUGCAGUCGAGAGCGCCACAGUCUGCUGCUUACACGAGUUCCAAGAUAUGCAAGCAUUCUGAAAAAUAAAAGAAUAACCAGAGCAUGAUCUUCUAUUAUGUGGGUCACUAGCCCAGUCUGCGUCGCAAUACCCGGUUAUUUCCAUGGAGUCAUCUUUGACAUAAUGGUACGUUUACACGCUUGCCAAGCCUUCGCAAGCGGCAAACAGCUCCAAGCCUCCACAAAUCUCGUUUGGCGUUUGAAAGGAGUUUACACGCUUGGGAACGCGUCAGUCUGCAAGAUAGAUCCAAGCAUGGCGGACACCGAACUUGUAACGGCUAUUGCAUUUGGUUUAUCGUACUUUUAUUUAAAAUGCAAGCAAAGUGAAACAAAAAAAAGAAAAACUCGACGACAACGAAGAUGGUGGAUGAAAAAGAUUCAUCGAAAUCGUACCAGACAAUUUAUAGAAGAGAAAUUUAAUGAACUUUUAUAUGAACCUUCUGGCGAGUUUGAUAACUUCUGCCGAAUGAGCUAUACCGAUUUUGAAUUUUUACUGCAGAAAAUUUCACCAAUGAUAUCCAAGCAAGAUACAGACUUCAGAGAUGCUAUACCGGCCAAAUUUCGUCUUGCCAUUACGCUACGAUUUUUAGCAUCUGGUGAUUCUUACAAAAGCCUUCACUACAUGUUUAAAGUAUCUGUCUCUAUGAUAUCAAUAACCAUUCGUGAAGUUUGCCGAUCUCUUAAUGAAAUUCUAAAGGAUCUAGUUAAGAUGCCCACCACAGCAGAAGGAUGGCUUAAUAUUGAAGAAGGAUUCAGGACCAAAUUUCCACAUUGCAUAGGGUCAUUGGAUGGCAAGCAUGUAGUCAUUGAAAGCCCAACUCAUAGUGGAACAGAAUAUUUCAAUUAUAAAAAAACUUUUAGCAUUGUCCUUUUGGCGUUAGUGGAUAGCAAAUACAAAUUUGUAUUUGCAGACAUCGGGAGUCAAGGAAGAAUAAGUGACGGUGGCGUGUUUAAUAAUUGUUUACUAUGGAAAAGAAUAUGUAGGAACGAGAUAGAUUUUCCACCGCCACACAGUGGUCCCGAUUUAAUAAAACAUGGACAUUGAUGCUAGAGGCACGAAAAUUUUUUUGAUGGUUACUGCUAUGAUAACUAAUAAGGCAAAAAAAUAUUACAAUCCUACAACGUCUAUUUCGUAGUAAAAAAAAAAUAUAUACAUAUUUUUUGUAUGGAAGAAAUUACGUUUCUGUCAAUUUUUCGAA
Ostrinia nubilalis (European corn borer) is the source of this 1916-nucleotide long non-coding RNA. RefSeq lists it as uncharacterized. The record is from RefSeq and is a predicted model, not a curated record. The transcript is spliced from 3 exons. Lineage: Eukaryota; Metazoa; Arthropoda; Insecta; Lepidoptera; Crambidae.